RNAcentral lists this ribosomal RNA (2898 nucleotides) under Streptococcus pneumoniae GA11426. Its description in RNAcentral is "bacterial LSU rRNA". It matches the Rfam family "Bacterial large subunit ribosomal RNA". The record is from RNAcentral. Lineage: Bacteria; Bacillati; Bacillota; Bacilli; Lactobacillales; Streptococcaceae.
UAAGUUAAUAAGGGCGCACGGUGGAUGCCUUGGCACUAGGAGCCGACGAAGGACGUGACAAACGACGAUAUGCCUCGGGUAGCUGUAAAUAAGCGAUGAUCCAGGGAUUUCCGAAUGGGGGAACCCAACAGGUAAUACCUGUUACCUACAUCUGUUAAGGAUGUGAGGAGGAAGACGCAGUGAACUGAAACAUCUAAGUAGCUGCAGGAAGAGAAAGCAAAAGCGAUUGCCUUAGUAGCGGCGAGCGAAACGGCAGAAGGGCAAACCGAAGAGUUUACUCUUCGGGGUUGUAGGACUGCAAUGUGGACUCAAAGAUUAUAGAAGAAUGAUUUGGGAAGAUCAGCCAAAGAGAGUAAUAGCCUCGUAUUUAAAAUAGUCUUUGUACUUAGCAGUAUCCUGAGUACGGCGGGACACGUGAAAUCCCGUCGGAAUCUGGGAGGACCAUCUCCCAACCCUAAAUACUCCCUAGUGACCGAUAGUGAACCAGUACCGUGAGGGAAAGGUGAAAAGCACCCCGGGAGGGGAGUGAAAUAGAACCUGAAACCGUGUGCCUACAACAAGUUCGAGCCCGUUAAUGGGUGAGAGCGUGCCUUUUGUAGAAUGAACCGGCGAGUUACGUUAUGAUGCGAGGUUAAGUUGAAGAGACGGAGCCGUAGGGAAACCGAGUCUGAAUAGGGCGCCUUAGUAUCAUGACGUAGACCCGAAACCAUGUGACCUACCCAUGAGCAGGUUGAAGGUGCGGUAAGACGCACUGGAGGACCGAACCAGGGCACGUUGAAAAGUGCUUGGAUGACUUGUGGGUAGCGGAGAAAUUCCAAACGAACUUGGAGAUAGCUGGUUCUCUCCGAAAUAGCUUUAGGGCUAGCGUCGACAUUAGAGAUUCUUGGAGGUAGAGCACUGUUUGGGUGAGGGGUCCAUCCCGGAUUACCAAUCUCAGAUAAACUCCGAAUGCCAAUGAAUUAUGGUCGGCAGUCAGACUGCGAGUGCUAAGAUCCGUAGUCGAAAGGGAAACAGCCCAGACCACCAGCUAAGGUCCCAAAAUAAUUGUUAAGUGGAAAAGGAUGUGGGGUUGCACAGACAACUAGGAUGUUAGCUUAGAAGCAGCUAUUCAUUCAAAGAGUGCGUAAUAGCUCACUAGUCGAGUGACCCUGCGCCGAAAAUGUACCGGGGCUAAAACAAUUUACCGAAGCUGUGGAUACCUUUAUAGGUAUGGUAGGAGAGCGUUCUAUGUGUGAUGAAGGUAUACCGUGAGGAGUGCUGGAACGCAUAGAAGUGAGAAUGCCGGUAUGAGUAGCGAAAGACAGGUGAGAAUCCUGUCCACCGUAAGACUAAGGUUUCCAGGGGAAGGCUCGUCCGCCCUGGGUUAGUCGGGACCUAAGGAGAGACCGAAAGGUGUAUCCGAUGGACAACAGGUUGAUAUUCCUGUACUAGAGUAUGUAGUGAUGGAGGGACGCAGUAGGCUAACUAAAGCAGACGAUUGGAAGAGUCUGUCUAAGCAGUGAGGUGUGAAUUGAGUCAAAUGCUUAAUUCUAUAACAUUGAGCUGUGAUGGGGAGCGAAGUUUAGUAGCGAAGUUAGUGACGUCACACUGCCAAGAAAAGCUUCUAGCGUUUAAACAUACUCUACCCGUACCGCAAACCGACACAGGUAGUCGAGGCGAGUAGCCUCAGGUGAGCGAGAGAACUCUCGUUAAGGAACUCGGCAAAAUGACCCCGUAACUUCGGGAGAAGGGGUGCUGACUUAAAGUCAGCCGCAGUGAAUAGGCCCAAGCAACUGUUUAUCAAAAACACAGCUCUCUGCUAAAUCGUAAGAUGAUGUAUAGGGGGUGACGCCUGCCCGGUGCUGGAAGGUUAAGAGGAGUGCUUAGCGUAAGCGAAGGUAUGAAUUGAAGCCCCAGUAAACGGCGGCCGUAACUAUAACGGUCCUAAGGUAGCGAAAUUCCUUGUCGGGUAAGUUCCGACCCGCACGAAAGGCGUAAUGAUUUGGGCACUGUCUCAACGAGAGACUCGGUGAAAUUUUAGUACCUGUGAAGAUGCAGGUUACCCGCGACAGGACGGAAAGACCCCAUGGAGCUUUACUGCAGUUUGAUAUUGAGUGUCUGUACCACAUGUACAGGAUAGGUAGGAGUCUAAGAGAUCGGGACGCCAGUUUCGAAGGAGACGCUGUUGGGAUACUACCCUUGUGUUAUGGCCACUCUAACCCAGAUAGGUGAUCCCUAUCGGAGACAGUGUCUGACGGGCAGUUUGACUGGGGCGGUCGCCUCCUAAAAGGUAACGGAGGCGCCCAAAGGUUCCCUCAGAAUGGUUGGAAAUCAUUCGCAGAGUGUAAAGGUAUAAGGGAGCUUGACUGCGAGAGCUACAACUCGAGCAGGGACGAAAGUCGGGCUUAGUGAUCCGGUGGUUCCGUAUGGAAGGGCCAUCGCUCAACGGAUAAAAGCUACCCUGGGGAUAACAGGCUUAUCUCCCCCAAGAGUUCACAUCGACGGGGAGGUUUGGCACCUCGAUGUCGGCUCGUCGCAUCCUGGGGCUGUAGUCGGUCCCAAGGGUUGGGCUGUUCGCCCAUUAAAGCGGCACGCGAGCUGGGUUCAGAACGUCGUGAGACAGUUCGGUCCCUAUCCGUCGCGGGCGUAGGAAAUUUGAGAGGAUCUGCUCCUAGUACGAGAGGACCAGAGUGGACUUACCGCUGGUGUACCAGUUGUCUUGCCAAAGGCAUCGCUGGGUAGCUAUGUAGGGAAGGGAUAAACGCUGAAAGCAUCUAAGUGUGAAACCCACCUCAAGAUGAGAUUUCCCAUGAUUAUAUAUCAGUAAGAGCCCUGAGAGAUGAUCAGGUAGAUAGGUUAGAAGUGGAAGUGUGGCGACACAUGUAGCGGACUAAUACUAAUAGCUCGAGGACUUAUCCA